This 469-nucleotide long non-coding RNA is filed under the name Brassica napus (rape). Its description in RNAcentral is "long non-coding RNA (BNAP_LNC017893)". Lineage: Eukaryota; Viridiplantae; Streptophyta; Magnoliopsida; Brassicales; Brassicaceae. The record is from RNAcentral.
CCUCCCAUGUUGUUCUGCGGUGGUGCUCCUCCAUAGUUCGGUGGAGGCGCUCCUCCGUAGUUUGGUGGUGGUGCUCCUCCCAUGUUGUUUUGUGGUGGCGUUCCUCCUCCGUAGUUCGGUGGUGGUGGUCCUCCAUAGUUCGGUGGUGGUGGUGGUGCGCCUCCGUAGUUUGCUGGAGGCCUCUGCCCUCCCAUAUUGUUAUGUGGCGGUGGUGGUCCUCCAUAGUUUGGUGGAGGCCUUUGUCCAUAAUUCUGCCCCAUGGGAGGUGGAGGGGGUGCAGAGCCACCCAUGUGAGGUGGAGGAGGGCCACCCAUGGGAGGACGUUGAGGAGGAGGGCCUCCAGCCAUGUUCUCUCUUCUCCUCUCAAAAUUUCUGCUUCUAUCAAAGUUUUUAGGACGGUCAUUGCGCCUGUUUCUUUCAUUGGCUCUAGCAUUGUUCCUUAUCCAUUCCUCGUGGUACUUGGGGUCAU